AGAGUUUGAUCAUGGCUCAGGACGAACGCUGGCGGCGUGCCUAAUACAUGCAAGUCGAGCGGACUUUGCUUCUCUUUCGGGAGAAGCUUGGUUAGCGGCGGACGGGUGAGUAACACGUGGGCAACCUGCCUGUAAGACUGGGAUAACUAUCGGAAACGAUAGCUAAGACCGGAUAAUUGGUUUCUUCGCAUGGGGAGAUC
Molecule: ribosomal RNA, 200 nt
Filed under: uncultured bacterium
Lineage: Bacteria
Description: partial 16S ribosomal RNA
Rfam family: Bacterial small subunit ribosomal RNA
Source: RNAcentral